GGGGAUGUAGCUCAAUGGUGAAGGGCUUGCCUAGAAUGUGCAAGGCCCUGGGUUCAAUCCCCAGCAACAUUA
This 72-nucleotide transfer RNA is filed under the name Ictidomys tridecemlineatus (thirteen-lined ground squirrel). Its description in RNAcentral is "Spermophilus tridecemlineatus (thirteen-lined ground squirrel) tRNA". It matches the Rfam family "tRNA". From Rfam's summary of the family: Transfer RNA (tRNA) molecules are approximately 80 nucleotides in length. Their secondary structure includes four short double-helical elements and three loops (D, anti-codon, and T loops). The record is from Rfam by way of RNAcentral. Lineage: Eukaryota; Metazoa; Chordata; Mammalia; Rodentia; Sciuridae.